Pecten maximus is the source of this 825-nucleotide long non-coding RNA. RefSeq lists it as uncharacterized. The transcript has 2 exons. The record is from RefSeq and is a predicted model, not a curated record. NCBI's taxonomy places the organism in Eukaryota, Metazoa, Mollusca, Bivalvia, Pectinida, Pectinidae.
UGCCCUGCUGUGGACACUAUUUUAAGCACAGCUCUUUACAUAUAUACAAGCAUGUUGAUGAGGACAAAAUCGAAAAUAAUUCAAUUACAGAUUAACCGUUUAUCACUCAAACCUCACAAACAAUAGCAUCUAGCUGUCUUUUCCAUACGCAACAAGAUUUGGAAAAGAUGAGGUCAAACAGACCCUUUGAAUUUGAAUUAUCCUGCCCACAAGGCCUUUCACCAGACAUGAUAGCAUAAGCUAAUGGGCUUCGCCCACCAGCUAAAAACUAAACAAUAUCAUUCAAAUAAAAGAUAAAAUCAAAAUUUUCCAAGUUCCAUUUACUUUCAAGAGUUUCACACAUCAUGUAUCAGUACAUUCUGUCAACUUCACUUCCUUUCUUUGCAUCAUUUGAUUCUAUAUCUCCCACUAAAAUCUGGAGCUUUCAUGCGUUAUGACAAGUUUCAAUAUAUGAGCAUACAGUAAGGUACAUGUAUUAGUAGAAUGUGCAAAAGAUGUUUCAGUUAAACUUAUCGACCCUGCUUACUGCACAUGUCUGCUUCUUAAACUUACAUUAUACUUAUAUAUGUAUAUGCACUGAGCAGAAUUCAAAUUUUGAAUGUAACCAUUUUUACACCCAAGUAUUUCUCUCUUUAAAAUCUGUACAAUUCAUUUACAAUUCAAAGGACAGAGGCUUAGUCCUCAGAAACAUUACUGUUGGUUAAUUAUGACGUGUCAAGGGGCCCUGUCCUCAAAAAGAGGGUAAUAUUACAGUAGGUUAAUUAUGACGUGUCAAGGGGCCCUGUCCUCAAAAAGAGGGUAAUAUUACAGUAGGUUAAUUAUGAC